AUGCCACGAGGGUUAUCUCGCAGCCCCAGAUGCUGGAUAAGUUGGAAGAGACAGAAUCGCUUUCAGAUGACAUUCAGAAAGGCCUUGAAUGAUUAUUUGGAGAAGAAAGGACUAUUCUUUCCAAGUUUUUGGUUUUUUUUGUUUGUUUUUUUGGGUUUUUUUUUUUCUCAGUGCAGCAAUGAUCUUCCAAGAAUCCUUUCUGAGACAAAGGAUCCACUCCACAUCCAGCCACACCUAAAGAAAUGCUCUGAAGGAAUUGCCAAGCUCACUUUUAAUCAUGAGAAAGAAAUUACCCACAUGGAGUCAGCAGAAAAUGAAAAAGUAGAGCUCGUGCUGUGAAUAAUUCCAGCAAGUGCCAAGGGGCUAGUUGAGCAAUGGCUUCAUGAGGUGAAUAUCUUUAGCUCUUACUUAGGGUUUAGUUACUGUAUAAUCAUUUUCUCUUUUAGGAGCAAUGAAUAUCAUAAGCAUAUUUCCUACCUAAACAGCUCUUUGAAUAUUUGUCAAGAUGUUGACAGAUUUCAGCCUUAUUGUUGUUAUUUAUUGCAGCUAAUAUAGCAACUGCAAGUGUGCAAAAAUUAAUUUUAAUAAAAAGCUCUCUGAGCCAGGCUGUCA
Molecule: long non-coding RNA, 612 nt
Filed under: Coturnix japonica (Japanese quail)
Lineage: Eukaryota; Metazoa; Chordata; Aves; Galliformes; Phasianidae
Description: lncRNA (ENSCJPG00005005073.1)
Rfam family: Rhabdomyosarcoma 2 associated transcript conserved region 9 (bases 196-388)
Source: RNAcentral